Molecule: ribosomal RNA, 755 nt
Filed under: uncultured archaeon
Lineage: Archaea
Description: bacterial SSU rRNA
Rfam family: Archaeal small subunit ribosomal RNA
Source: RNAcentral
GGAUAACCUACCCUUAGGACUGGGAUAACCCUGGGAAACUGGGGCUAAUACCGGAUAGGCAAUUUUUCCUGGAAUGGUUUUUUGUUUAAAUGUUUUUUCGCCUAAGGAUGGGUCUGCGGCCGAUUAGGUAGUUGGUUAGGUAAUGGCUUACCAAGCCGUUGAUCGGUACGGGUUGUGAGAGCAAGAGCCCGGAGAUGGAACCUGAGACAAGGUUCCAGGCCCUACGGGGUGCAGCAGGCGCGAAACCUCCGCAAUGUGAGAAAUCGCGACGGGGGGAUCCCAAGUGCCAUUCUUAACGGGAUGGCUUUUCAUUAGUGUAAAGAGCUUUUGGAAUAAGAGCUGGGCAAGACCGGUGCCAGCCGCCGCGGUAACACCGGCAGCUCUAGUGGUAGCAAUUUUUAUUGGGCCUAAAGCGUCCGUAGCCGGUUUAAUAAGUCUCUGGUGAAAUCCUGCAGCUUAACUGUGGGAAUUGCUGGAGAUACUAUUAGACUUGAGACCGGGAGAGGUUAGAGGUACUCCCAGGGUAGAGGUGAAAUUCUGUAAUCCUGGGAGGACCGCCUGUUGCGAAGGCGUCUAGCUGGAACGGUUCUGACGGUGAGGGACGAAAGUUAGGGGCGCGAACCGGAUUAGAUACCCGGGUAGUCCUAACUGUAAACGAUGCGGACUUGGUGUUGGGGUGGCUUUGAGCUGCUUCAGUGCCGAAGGGAAGCUGUUAAGUCCGCCGCCUGGGAAGUACGGUCGCAAGACUGAAACUU